This 74-nucleotide transfer RNA is filed under the name Loxodonta africana (African savanna elephant). It matches the Rfam family "tRNA". Rfam says of the family: Transfer RNA (tRNA) molecules are approximately 80 nucleotides in length. Their secondary structure includes four short double-helical elements and three loops (D, anti-codon, and T loops). Further hydrogen bonds mediate the characteristic L-shaped molecular structure. tRNAs have two regions of fundamental functional importance: the anti-codon, which is responsible for specific mRNA codon recognition, and the 3' end, to which the tRNAs corresponding amino acid is attached (by aminoacyl-tRNA synthetases). tRNAs cope with the degeneracy of the genetic code in two manners: having more than one tRNA (with a specific anti-codon) for a particular amino acid; and 'wobble' base-pairing, i.e. permitting non-standard base-pairing at the 3rd anti-codon position. The record is from Rfam by way of RNAcentral. Lineage: Eukaryota; Metazoa; Chordata; Mammalia; Proboscidea; Elephantidae.
CCCUGGGUGAUGCAAAUGGUUAACAUGUUUGGCUGCUUACCAAAAGAUUGGUAGUUCAAAUCCACCCAGAGGCA